RNAcentral lists this ribosomal RNA (409 nucleotides) under Sphingomonas sp. 27. RNAcentral's name for it is "bacterial SSU rRNA". It matches the Rfam family "Bacterial small subunit ribosomal RNA", at positions 129 to 572 of the family's 1533-position model. The record is from RNAcentral. Lineage: Bacteria; Pseudomonadati; Pseudomonadota; Alphaproteobacteria; Sphingomonadales; Sphingomonadaceae.
CCCUUUGGUUCGGAAUAACAGUUGGAAACGACUGCUAAUACCGGAUGAUGACGUAAGUCCAAAGAUUUAUCGCCAGAGGAUGAGCCCGCGUAGGAUUAGCUAGUUGGUGUGGUAAGAGCGCACCAAGGCGACGAUCCUUAGCUGGUCUGAGAGGAUGAUCAGCCACACUGGGACUGAGACACGGCCCAGACUCCUACGGGAGGCAGCAGUGGGGAAUAUUGGACAAUGGGCGAAAGCCUGAUCCAGCAAUGCCGCGUGAGUGAUGAAGGCCUUAGGGUUGUAAAGCUCUUUUACCCGGGAUGAUAAUGACAGUACCGGGAGAAUAAGCUCCGGCUAACUCCGUGCCAGCAGCCGCGGUAAUACGGAGGGAGCUAGCGUUGUUCGGAAUUACUGGGCGUAAAGCGCACGU